GAAUGGGAUCAAAAGUAACCUUCUUUCUUUCAAAAUUAUUCUGCUGACUGUUAUUGUAGUUAUGAUUGUUGUGGGUACAUUAUUAUUGUUGUUGUUGUUGCUACUGAAUUGGUACUGAUUGAAUUGCUGAAUUAUUGGUAAAUACCGGAAUAACUGAUGAUACUUGAUGGUGAUGCUGUUGGGAUCUAGAAUUUUUCCUCACAUGAGGCCUCUUAUGCCUCCCCACAGAUACUGAUUUGGUUUCCCCUUCCUUCUACUUAGAGAAACUCCC
Molecule: long non-coding RNA, 271 nt
Filed under: Lathyrus oleraceus (garden pea)
Lineage: Eukaryota; Viridiplantae; Streptophyta; Magnoliopsida; Fabales; Fabaceae
Description: Pisum sativum (pea) long non-coding RNA (PSAT_LNC034737)
Source: RNAcentral